This 352-nucleotide ribosomal RNA is filed under the name uncultured fungus. Its description in RNAcentral is "SSU rRNA". It matches the Rfam family "Eukaryotic small subunit ribosomal RNA", at positions 20 to 371 of the family's 1831-position model. The record is from RNAcentral. Lineage: Eukaryota; Fungi.
GUAGUCAUAUGCUUGUCUCAAAGAUUAAGCCAUGCAUGUCUAAGUAUAAGCAAUUUAUACAGUGAAACUGCGAAUGGCUCAUUAAAUCAGUUAUCGUUUAUUUGAUAGUACCUUUACUACUUGGUAUAACCGUGGUAAUUCUAGAGCUAAUACAUGCUAAAAACCCCGACUGUUUGGAAGGGGUGUAUUUAUUAGAUAAAAAAUCAAUGCUCUUCUGAGCUCUUUGAUGAUUCAUAAUAACUUUUCGAACCGCAUGACUUCGUGUCGGCGAUGGUUCAUUCAAAUUUCUGCCCUAUCAACUUUCGAUGGUAGGAUAGUGGCCUACCAUGGUUUCAACGGGUAACGGGGAAUG